RNAcentral lists this ribosomal RNA (253 nucleotides) under uncultured prokaryote. RNAcentral describes it as "partial 16S ribosomal RNA". It matches the Rfam family "Bacterial small subunit ribosomal RNA", at positions 524 to 776 of the family's 1533-position model. The record is from RNAcentral.
UACGAAGGGUGCAAGCGUUACUCGGAAUUACUGGGCGUAAAGCGUGCGUAGGUGGUUCGUUAAGUCUGAUGUGAAAGCCCUGGGCUCAACCUGGGAAUUGCACUGGAUACUGGCGGGCUAGAGUGCGGUAGAGGAUGGCGGAAUUCCCGGUGUAGCAGUGAAAUGCGUAGAGAUCGGGAGGAACAUCCGUGGCGAAGGCGGCCAUCUGGACCAGCACUGACACUGAGGCACGAAAGCGUGGGGAGCAAACAGG